This 460-nucleotide ribosomal RNA is filed under the name uncultured bacterium. RNAcentral describes it as "partial 16S ribosomal RNA". It matches the Rfam family "Bacterial small subunit ribosomal RNA", at positions 338 to 795 of the family's 1533-position model. The record is from RNAcentral.
CCUACGGGAGGCAGCAGUGAGGAAUAUUGGUCAAUGGACGAGAGUCUGAACCAGCCAAGUAGCGUGAAGGAUGACUGCCCUAUGGGUUGUAAACUUCUUUUAUAUGGGAAUAAAAUGUUCCACGUGUGGGAUUUUGUAUGUACCAUAUGAAUAAGGAUCGGCUAACUCCGUGCCAGCAGCCGCGGUAAUACGGAGGAUCCGAGCGUUAUCCGGAUUUAUUGGGUUUAAAGGGAGCGUAGGUGGAUUGUUAAGUCAGUUGUGAAAGUUUGCGGCUCAACCGUAAAAUUGCAGUUGAAACUGGCAGUCUUGAGUACAGUAGAGGUGGGCGGAAUGCGUGGUGUAGCGGUGAAAUGCAUAGAUAUCACGAAGAACUCCGAUUGCGAAGGCAGUUCACUGGACUGCAACUGACACUGAGGCUCGAAAGUGUGGGUAUCAAACAGGAUUAGAUACCCUAGUAGUC